Molecule: ribosomal RNA, 301 nt
Filed under: uncultured bacterium
Lineage: Bacteria
Description: partial 16S ribosomal RNA
Rfam family: Bacterial small subunit ribosomal RNA
Source: RNAcentral
CAUUCGCCGCGGUAACACAGAGGGUGCGAGCGUUAAUCGGAUUUACUGGGCGUAAAGCGUGCGUAGGCGGCUUUUUAAGUCGGAUGUGAAAUCCCUGAGCUUAACUUAGGAAUUGCAUUCGAUACUGGGAAGCUAGAGUAUGGGAGAGGAUGGUAGAAUUCCAGGUGUAGCGGUGAAAUGCGUAGAGAUCUGGAGGAAUACCGAUGGCGAAGGCAGCCAUCUGGCCUAAUACUGACGCUGAGGUACGAAAGCAUGGGGAGCAAACAGGAUUAGAUACCCCGGUAGCCUGUCUCUUAUACAC